GAUGAACGCUGGCGGCGUGCCUAAUACAUGCAAGUCGAGCGAACAGACGAGGAGCUUGCUCCUUCGACGUUAGCGGCGGACGGGUGAGUAACACGUAGGUAACCUACCUAUAAGACUGGGAUAACUUCGGGAAACCGUAGCUAAUACCGGAUAAUAUUUCGAACCGCAUGGUUCGAUAGUGAAAGAUGGCUUUGCUGUCACUUAUAGAUGGACCUGCGCCGUAUUAGCUAGUUGGUAAGGUAACGGCUUACCAAGGCAACGAUACGUAGCCGACCUGAGAGGGUGAUCGGCCACACUGGAACUGAGACACGGUCCAGACUCCUACGGGAGGCAGCAGUAGGGAAUCUUCCGCAAUGGGCGAAAGCCUGACGGAGCAACGCCGCGUGAGUGAUGAAGGUCUUCGGAUCGUAAAACUCUGUUAUUAGGGAAGAACAAACGUGUAAGUAACUGUGCACGUCUUGACGGUACCUAAUCAGAAAGCCACGGCUAACUACGUG
This 497-nucleotide ribosomal RNA is filed under the name uncultured bacterium. RNAcentral describes it as "partial 16S ribosomal RNA". It matches the Rfam family "Bacterial small subunit ribosomal RNA", at positions 28 to 507 of the family's 1533-position model. The record is from RNAcentral.